UCGGAAGUGGUGAAGCUGUUAUAAGUGCGCACCUUAACUUCUAUUGCCGUCUUGCUGACCCUGAGUUUCGUUUGCAGAGCCGUACAACACCAAUUCCAUGUAUUGAGCCGUUGCUUAUAACUCACGUCGCAUCAAACCAUAAUUUGGCGGCAGAUUGUGAAAAAGUUUUUAAUUUUGGCCAAGCUGAAUAUCUUGUUGCCUGUCAGAGCCACCAUUUGAGAAAUCCGUGGCGAAAUGUCUGGGUAAUCAGUAAUGGCCAUUGGAAUUUGAAUUCAGAAGAAAACAAUAAAAUAAAGGAAAUCAGGCGCAGAGUAUGGGAUGUCCAAAUAGUUUACAGAUAGUGUACAGAACAGAAUAAAAAACCAACGAAACAUAUAAAUUCUAAAUUUGUUAGUUCAAAUAAAAGUUGUUAUCGUCUUAACUGAAAAUAAAACCGUUUUAUUGUUCAACACUUAAA
This is a long non-coding RNA of Teleopsis dalmanni, 457 nucleotides long. RefSeq lists it as uncharacterized. NCBI's taxonomy places the organism in Eukaryota, Metazoa, Arthropoda, Insecta, Diptera, Diopsidae. The record is from RefSeq and is a predicted model, not a curated record. The transcript has 3 exons.